This 432-nucleotide long non-coding RNA is filed under the name Nicotiana benthamiana. RNAcentral's name for it is "long non-coding RNA (NBEN_LNC008831)". Lineage: Eukaryota; Viridiplantae; Streptophyta; Magnoliopsida; Solanales; Solanaceae. The record is from RNAcentral.
CCAUUUGUAAUGUUCUCAAAACUGUUGAAUCUGCCGACAUCUCAUUCUCCAACGCGAGAGAUCUCGACGGCGUCGUUUCGAUUCACAAGCCAACCAUUCUCGUCUCCGAGAAACUUGGAGAGGCGGGUUUGGACCUGCUCCGUAGUCAACCAUUUGUAAUGUUCUCAAAACUAUUGAAUCUGCCGACAUCUCAUUCUCCAACGCGAGAGAUCUCGACGGCGUCGUUUCGAUUCACAAGCCAACCAUUCUCGUCUCCGAGAAACUUGGAGAGGCGGGUUUGGACCUGCUCCGUAGUUUCGGCAACGUGGAUUGUUCGUACAACUUGUCUCCUGAGGAUCUCUGCGCUAAGAUCUCUCUGUGCGACGCGCUUAUUGUACGCAGUGGGACUAAGGUGACUCGAGAAGUCUUUGAGGCUGCACAGGGACGUCUUAA